RNAcentral lists this ribosomal RNA (546 nucleotides) under Enterococcus faecium. Its description in RNAcentral is "bacterial SSU rRNA". It matches the Rfam family "Bacterial small subunit ribosomal RNA", at positions 1 to 522 of the family's 1533-position model. The record is from RNAcentral. Lineage: Bacteria; Bacillati; Bacillota; Bacilli; Lactobacillales; Enterococcaceae.
UGGAGAGUUUGAUCCUGGCUCAGGACGAACGCUGGCGGCGUGCCUAAUACAUGCAAGUCGAACGCUUCUUUUUCCACCGGAGCUUGCUCCACCGGAAAAAGAGGAGUGGCGAACGGGUGAGUAACACGUGGGUAACCUGCCCAUCAGAAGGGGAUAACACUUGGAAACAGGUGCUAAUACCGUAUAACAAUCAAAACCGCAUGGUUUUGAUUUGAAAGGCGCUUUCGGGUGUCGCUGAUGGAUGGACCCGCGGUGCAUUAGCUAGUUGGUGAGGUAACGGCUCACCAAGGCCACGAUGCAUAGCCGACCUGAGAGGGUGAUCGGCCACAUUGGGACUGAGACACGGCCCAAACUCCUACGGGAGGCAGCAGUAGGGAAUCUUCGGCAAUGGACGAAAGUCUGACCGAGCAACGCCGCGUGAGUGAAGAAGGUUUUCGGAUCGUAAAACUCUGUUGUUAGAGAAGAACAAGGAUGAGAGUAACUGUUCAUCCCUUGACGGUAUCUAACCAGAAAGCCACGGCUAACUACGUGCCAGCAGCCGCGGUA